RNAcentral lists this ribosomal RNA (408 nucleotides) under uncultured bacterium. RNAcentral describes it as "partial 16S ribosomal RNA". It matches the Rfam family "Bacterial small subunit ribosomal RNA", at positions 28 to 526 of the family's 1533-position model. The record is from RNAcentral.
GACGAACGCUGGCGGCGUGCUUAACACAUGCAAGUCGAACGAAGUGGCGAACGGGUGAGUAACGCGUAAUCAACCUGCCCUUCAGAGGGGGACAACAGUUGGAAACGAGUGCUAAUCCCGAAUACGGAGGGAGGGGAGUGCGUCUGAUAAGCUAGUUGGAGGGGUAACGGCCCAACAAGGCGAUGAUCAGGAGCAGGUCGGAGGGGAGGAUCGGCCACAUUGGGACGUGGACCCGGCCCAGACUCCUACGGGAGGCAGCAGUUGGGAAUCUUCCGAAAUGGACGAAAGUCUGACGGAGCAACGCCGCGUGGUUGAUGACGGCCUUCGGGUUGUAAAGCUCUGUUAAUCGGGACGCGGUACCGGAAUAGAAAGCCACGGCUAACUACGUGCCAGCAGCCGCGGUAAUAC